ACUGCAUUGAUAUUCUUGUGGCGAUUCUGCUGCCUCCUCUGGGAGUCUUCCUCAAGUUUGCCUGUGGGGUGGAGUUUUGGAUAUGCUUGUUGUUGACACUGUUUGGUUACAUUCCUGGAAUUAUCUAUGCUAUCUAUGCUAUCACCAAGUGAAAUGUGAAGGGCAUAAAUGUCAUUUUAGUGUGAUGGGUUGAUAAUUAUCUUGAGUUCGGGGAUCCCUUUUGCUGUCAUUUUACUUCUUUUCUUGUUUUUUUGUUUUAACACAUUUUAUUUGAUGGGCUCCUCCUGCAUUGCAUUACUGUAAGUUGUGAUCAAAAGUGGUGUGUAUUAGCUUCUUUUAUUCAGAUAAAAGGGAAAAAAAAAAAAACUCUUUGGAUCA
This is a long non-coding RNA of Andrographis paniculata, 378 nucleotides long. RefSeq lists it as uncharacterized. Lineage: Eukaryota; Viridiplantae; Streptophyta; Magnoliopsida; Lamiales; Acanthaceae. The transcript has 3 exons. The record is from RefSeq and is a predicted model, not a curated record.